CUACGGGCGGCUCCAGUGGGGAAUAUUGGACAAUGGGGGAAACCCUGGUCCAGCAAUGCCGCGUGUGUGAAGAAGGCCUGCGGGUUGUAAAGCACUUUCGGUUGGGAGGACUGCUUCUAGCACUAAUAUUGUUGGAAGUUGACGUUACCUUCAGAAGAAGCACCGGCUAACUCCGUGCCAGCAGCCGCGGUAAUACGGAGGGUGCAAGCGUGAAUCGGAAUUACUGGGCGUAAAGCGCGCGUAGGCGGCUAGAUCAGUCGGGUGUGAAAGCCCCGGGCUUAACCUGGGAACUGCAUCCGAUACUGUCUAGCUUGAGUACAGGAGAGGAGAGUGGAAUUCCACAUGUAGCGGUGAAAUGCGUAGAUAUGUGGAGGAACACCAAUGGCGAAGGCAGCUCUCUGGCCUGAUACCGACGCUGAGGUGCGAAAGCGUGGGGAGCAAACAGGAUUAGAUACCCGCGUAGUC
Molecule: ribosomal RNA, 465 nt
Filed under: uncultured bacterium
Lineage: Bacteria
Description: partial 16S ribosomal RNA
Rfam family: Bacterial small subunit ribosomal RNA
Source: RNAcentral